AUCCAACUAACGAGUCCCAAAUAGGACGAGAAGCACUUCCUGGAU
This 45-nucleotide non-coding RNA is filed under the name Schistosoma curassoni. The record is from RNAcentral. Lineage: Eukaryota; Metazoa; Platyhelminthes; Trematoda; Strigeidida; Schistosomatidae.